UACGUAGGGUGCAAGCGUUAAUCGGAAUUACUGGGCGUAAAGCGUGCGCAGGCGGUUCGGAAAGAAAGAUGUGAAAUCCCAGAGCUUAACUUUGGAACUGCAUUUUUAACUACCGAGCUAGAGUGUGUCAGAGGGAGGUGGAAUUCCGCGUGUAGCAGUGAAAUGCGUAGAUAUGCGGAGGAACACCGAUGGCGAAGGCAAUCCCCUGGGCCUGCACUGACGCUCAUGCACGAAAGCGUGGGGAGCAAACAGG
Molecule: ribosomal RNA, 253 nt
Filed under: uncultured bacterium
Lineage: Bacteria
Description: partial 16S ribosomal RNA
Rfam family: Bacterial small subunit ribosomal RNA
Source: RNAcentral